This 763-nucleotide ribosomal RNA is filed under the name Stutzerimonas stutzeri. RNAcentral describes it as "bacterial SSU rRNA". It matches the Rfam family "Bacterial small subunit ribosomal RNA", at positions 21 to 795 of the family's 1533-position model. Lineage: Bacteria; Pseudomonadati; Pseudomonadota; Gammaproteobacteria; Pseudomonadales; Pseudomonadaceae. The record is from RNAcentral.
UGCUCAGGACGAACGCUGGCGGCGUGCUUAACACAUGCAAGUCGAACGAUGACGGUGGUGCUUGCACCGCCUGAUUAGUGGCGAACGGGUGAGUAACACGUGAGUAACCUGCCCUCCACUUCGGGAUAACCUCGGGAAAUCGUGGCUAAUACCGGAUAUGAGCACUCAUCGCAUGGUGGGUGUUGGAAAGAUUUAUCGGUGGGGGAUGGACUCGCGGCCUAUCAGUUUGUUGGUGAGGUGAUGGCUCACCAAGACGAUGACGGGUAGCCGGCCUGAGAGGGCGACCGGCCACACUGGGACUGAGACACGGCCCAGACUCCUACGGGAGGCAGCAGUGGGGAAUAUUGCACAAUGGGCGAAAGCCUGAUGCAGCGACGCCGCGUGGGGGAUGACGGCCUUCGGGUUGUAAACCCCUUUCAGUAGGGAAGAAGCGAGAGUGACGGUACCUGCAGAAGAAGCGCCGGCUAACUACGUGCCAGCAGCCGCGGUAAUACGUAGGGCGCAAGCGUUGUCCGGAAUUAUUGGGCGUAAAGAGCUUGUAGGUGGCUUGUCGCGUCUGCCGUGAAAACCCGAGGCUCAACCUCGGGCGUGCGGUGGGUACGGGCAGGCUAGAGUGUGGUAGGGGAGACUGGAACUCCUGGUGUAGCGGUGAAAUGCGCAGAUAUCAGGAAGAACACCGAUGGCGAAGGCAGGUCUCUGGGCCAUUACUGACACUGAGAAGCGAAAGCAUGGGUAGAACAGGAUUAGAUACCCUGGUUAGUUC